This 382-nucleotide unclassified non-coding RNA is filed under the name soil metagenome. Its description in RNAcentral is "partial contains 5.8S ribosomal RNA, internal transcribed spacer 2, and large subunit ribosomal RNA". The stretch from base 1 to 120 matches the Rfam family "5.8S ribosomal RNA", at positions 35 to 154 of the family's 154-position model. The record is from RNAcentral.
GAUGAAGAACGCAGCGAAAUGCGAUAAGUAAUGUGAAUUGCAGAAUUCAGUGAAUCAUCGAAUCUUUGAACGCACCUUGCACCCUUUGGCAUUCCGAAGGGUAUGCUCGUUUGAGUGUCAUUGUACUCUCACUCUCCCGAUACUUUUGGAUCGGGAGUGGUGGACUUGGGUGCCGCUGCUUAACUGUGGCUCGCCUUAAAUGAAGUAGUGCAACUCUCGGUUGGACAUAGUACGGCGUGAUAAGUGUCUUCGCCGGCGCCUCAUUCGAGGGUGGCCGAUCGGGAGCUCUGUGCUUCAAACUGUCUUCGGACAACAUCUGACAACUUGACCUCAAAUCGAGUAGGACUACCCGCUGAACUUAAGCAUAUCAAUAAGCGGAGGA